UGGGGAAUCUUAGACAAUGGGGAACCCUGAUCUAGCCAUGCCGCGUGAGCGAUGAAGGCCUUAGGGUUGUAAAGCUCUUUUCAGCUGGGAAGAUAAUGACGGUACCAGCAGAAGAAGCCCCGGCUAACUCCGUGCCAGCAGCCGCGGUAAUACGGAGGGGGCUAGCGUUGUUCGGAAUUACUGGGCGUAAAGCGCACGUAGGCGGAUUAGUCAGUCAGAGGUGAAAUCCCAGGGCUCAACCCUGGAACUGCCUUUGAUACUGCUAGUCUUGAGGUCGAGAGAGGUGAGUGGAAUUCCGAGUGUAGAGGUGAAAUUCGUAGAUAUUCGGAGGAACACCAGUGGCGAAGGCGGCUCACUGGCUCGAUACUGACGCUGAGGUGCGAAAGCGUGGGGAGCAAAACAGGAUUAGAUACCCUGGUAGUCCACGCCGUAAACGAUGAUGCCAGUCGU
This 450-nucleotide ribosomal RNA is filed under the name uncultured bacterium. RNAcentral describes it as "partial 16S ribosomal RNA". It matches the Rfam family "Bacterial small subunit ribosomal RNA", at positions 355 to 823 of the family's 1533-position model. The record is from RNAcentral.